This 253-nucleotide ribosomal RNA is filed under the name uncultured bacterium. RNAcentral describes it as "partial 16S ribosomal RNA". It matches the Rfam family "Bacterial small subunit ribosomal RNA", at positions 524 to 776 of the family's 1533-position model. The record is from RNAcentral.
UACCGAGGGUGCGAGCGUUCAUCGGAAUUACUGGGCGUAAAGCGCACGUAGGUGGCGACGUAAGUCGGGUGUGAAAGCCCCGGGCUCAACCUGGGAAUUGCAUUCGAGACUGCAUUGCUGGAGUACGGAAGAGGAAGGCGGAAUUCCCGGUGUAGCGGUGAAAUGCGUAGAUAUCGGGAGGAACAUCAGUGGCGAAGGCGGCCUUCUGGUCCAGUACUGACACUCAAGUGCGAAAGCGUGGGGAGCAAACAGG